UGGGGAAUCUUGCGCAAUGGGCGAAAGCCUGACGCAGCGACGCCGCGUGAGUGAUGAAGGCCUUCGGGUUGUAAAGCUCUGUGGGGAGAGAAGAAUAAGUGUUGGCUAAUAUCCAGCAUGAUGACGGUAUCUCCUUAGCAAGCACCGGCUAACUCUGUGCCAGCAGCCGCGGUAAGACAGAGGGUGCAAACGUUGUUCGGAAUUACUGGGCGUAAAGCGUGUGUAGGCGGCUUUGCAAGUCGGAUGUGAAAGCCCCGGGCUCAACCCGGGAAGUGCACUCGAUACUGCAGAGCUAGAGUGUGGGAGAGGUUGGUGGAAUUCUCGGUGUAGAGGUGAAAUUCGUAGAUAUCGAGAGGAACACCGGCGGCGAAGGCGGCCAACUGGACCACUACUGACGCUGAGACACGAAAGCGUGGGGAGCAAACAG
This 427-nucleotide ribosomal RNA is filed under the name uncultured bacterium. RNAcentral's name for it is "bacterial SSU rRNA". It matches the Rfam family "Bacterial small subunit ribosomal RNA", at positions 355 to 775 of the family's 1533-position model. The record is from RNAcentral.